Non-coding RNA from Sesamum indicum (sesame), 425 nucleotides. Lineage: Eukaryota; Viridiplantae; Streptophyta; Magnoliopsida; Lamiales; Pedaliaceae. The record is from RefSeq and is a predicted model, not a curated record.
GUAUCUGAUUCCCGUCUCCGUUGUAACACAGCAUACGUCAAAUCAAACAGAAACAGAUAAAGAAAUAUGGUUGUUGACAAAAAUGGAAGAGCAAAUUAAACAGCCGGACAUCCUCAACAUGCCAGUGCCCAUGUUCGUCGUGUUUGUUAAGACAGCCAGCUGAUGACGACACCUCCUUACUGUAAAGGAUGUUGUAAACUGAUUGUAAAAGAAAACAGAAAAACGUUGUCUCAUUUUUUUUUGAAGGUUCUAGCACAAUUCUUUCCUGGUUUAGGCAAACAGGGUGGUUAUGUUUUGUCGAAGAAAGCUUCAGCUUUCAGCAGUCCAUCUAUGGAAGAAAAUCUGUUUGUCGACGUAAUGUAUAUACGCUGUUUCAGAUCUGAGGCUGCUUUCAGUUAUGCUCCGAAAUCACAAGAUUCUGUCAA